Long non-coding RNA from Clupea harengus (Atlantic herring), 894 nucleotides. RefSeq lists it as uncharacterized. The transcript is spliced from 2 exons. NCBI's taxonomy places the organism in Eukaryota, Metazoa, Chordata, Actinopteri, Clupeiformes, Clupeidae. The record is from RefSeq and is a predicted model, not a curated record.
CUGAGCUCUUCUCUCUCCUCUCCUCUCUAUCUAUCUCCUCCUGUAACAGAUGCUGGGUCUGGUUGUGUCUUUCCUGAUCGCUGCAAGCGCGGCGUUCUCCUUCCAGCCUGUCCACUCCAAGCUGUCCCCCCACAUCAGUGCUGAGGUGUGAUGAGGUCGGCCACUUCCACACCUUCCCCUUUCUGCGAAGAGUGGAUUCAACGUGUUUCAGGGAACAGGAAGUUCACUCACAACUUCCUGCUGAUGCUGUGGAUCAAGUCAUCCAUUCAGAUUGGCUCAUGAACACUCACCGACAGAGCGUCAGCUACUUAAUGAUGCUAUCCAUCAGGUCAACUCAGAAUGACGAGUUUGCUGAUGGAAAUCUGCAGCUGUUAAACAGUUUAUGAUGUUGAUGGAUAGCUUAACGAUGAUGAUUGAGAUAGAUGCGUCAUGGCUUAACCAUGACGUGCAGCAGUUAAUGACAUUGACAGCUUAAUGUAAAAAAUAUACCAAAUUAUUUGUUAAUUUGCUGACUGACUCAUCCUAGAAAAAUUGAAUAUAAAGCAAUAGUCACCAUCCUAUUCCAUUAUGUAACAGAACUUAUUGUUCAUAAAUAAUUACCAUCUUAUUCGAUCAUGUAGUAGAACUUAUUGUUCAUAAAUAAUUACCAUCCUAUUCCAUCAUGUAACAUAACGUAUUGUUCUUAAAUAAUUAAGGUAAUGACUAAUUCAUAUUCAUGAAUACAACUGUUAUUUAAAAGAUUAUUUGAUUUAUUUUUAUGACUUUUUAAGUAUUAUCGGUUACUAACAAACUAGAAAAGUCUAUGAUCUUGUUGUUAUUAGAAAUGUUUCACUGUACAUAUAGAGGAACAAGAGACGAAAUGCUUUUCUUCCAAUAAAUACACCUUUAAUUGAA